UCCGCAGGCGGGCUGAUAAGUUAGAGGUGAAAUCCUACAGCUCAACUGUAGAACUGCCUUUGAUACUGUCAGUCUUGAAUGUGCUCGACGUAGGCGGAAUGUGCCGUGUAGCGGUGAAAUGCUUAGAUAUGGCACAGAACACCGAUCGCGAAGGCAGCUUACGAGAGCAAUAUUGACGCUGAGGGACGAAAGCGUGGGGAGCGAACAGGAUUAGAUACCCUGGUAGUCC
Molecule: ribosomal RNA, 229 nt
Filed under: uncultured bacterium
Lineage: Bacteria
Description: partial 16S ribosomal RNA
Rfam family: Bacterial small subunit ribosomal RNA
Source: RNAcentral